UGGGGAAUCUUCCGCAAUGGGCGAAAGCCUGACGGAGCAACGCCGCGUGAAUGAAGAAGGCCUUCGGGUCGUAAAGUUCUGUCUUCAGGGACGAAGUCUCUUGGUGCGAAUAGUGCCGGGAGGUGACGGUACCUGAGGAGGAAGCUCCGGCUAACUACGUGCCAGCAGCCGCGGUAAUACGUAGGGAGCAAGCGUUGUCCGGAAUUACUGGGCGUAAAGGGCGCGUAGGCGGGAAUUUAAGUCAGAUGUGAAAUCUCCGGGCUCAAACUGGAGCCUACAUUUGAAACUGGAUUUCUUGAGGGCAGGAGAGGAAAGUGGAAUUCCUAGUGUAGCGGUGAAAUGCGUAGAUAUUAGGAGGAACACCAGUGGCGAAGGCGACUUUCUGGACUGUACCUGACGCUGAGGCGCGAAAGCGUGGGGAGCAAACGGG
RNAcentral lists this ribosomal RNA (430 nucleotides) under uncultured prokaryote. RNAcentral's name for it is "bacterial SSU rRNA". It matches the Rfam family "Bacterial small subunit ribosomal RNA", at positions 355 to 776 of the family's 1533-position model. The record is from RNAcentral. RNAcentral also lists the same sequence under 1 other name.